GUGCUCACUUCAGCAGCACAUAUAUUAAAAUUGGAAUGCUACAGAGAUUAGCAUGGCCCUUGUUCAAGGAUGACACUCAAGUUUGUGGUGUUCCAUGUUAAA
This 102-nucleotide small nuclear RNA is filed under the name Carlito syrichta (Philippine tarsier). Lineage: Eukaryota; Metazoa; Chordata; Mammalia; Primates; Tarsiidae. The record is from RNAcentral.